This 370-nucleotide ribosomal RNA is filed under the name uncultured bacterium. RNAcentral's name for it is "bacterial SSU rRNA". It matches the Rfam family "Bacterial small subunit ribosomal RNA", at positions 29 to 429 of the family's 1533-position model. The record is from RNAcentral.
AACGAACGCUGGCGGCAUGCCUAACACAUGCAAGUCGAACGAGACCUUCGGGUCUAGUGGCGCACGGGUGCGUAACGCGUGGGAAUCUGCCCUUGGGUUCGGAAUAACAGUUAGAAAUGACUGCUAAUACCGGAUAAUGUCUUCGGACCAAAGAUUUAUCGCCCAGGGAUGAGCCCGCGUAGGAUUAGCUAGUUGGUGAGGUAAAGGCUCACCAAGGCGACGAUCCUUAGCUGGUCUGAGAGGAUGAUCAGCCACACUGGGACUGAGACACGGCCCAGACUCCUACGGGAGGCAGCAGUGGGGAAUCUUGCGCAAUGGACGAAAGUCUGACGCAGCCACGCCGCGUGAGUGAAGAAGGCCUGGUUGUAAG